GUCCUUUUGUUUAUUUAUUUAAGGUCUGACCUGCCCAAUGAGGAAUUGAAUGGCCGCAGUAUUUUAACUGUGCUAAGGUAGCAUAAUCAUUUGUCUUUUAAUUGAGGGCUGGAAUGAAGGGUUGGACGAGGUAUUAACUUUCUUUGAUUUAAUGAAGAGAAUUUAAUUUUUGAGUUAAAAAGCUUAAAUUUAUUUGUGGGACGAGAAGACCCUAUAGAUCUUUAUAGUUUUAUAUUUUAAUAAUUUGGUGAUUUAUUUGUUUUAAGUAGAUGAACUAUUUUGUUGGGGUGACUGUAGAAUUUAAAUAACUUCUAUUAUUUUAUUUCAUUAAUUAAUGUUUUUGUGAUCCAUAUUUUAUGAUUAUAAGAUUAAGUUACCUUAGGGAUAACAGCGUAAUUUCCUCGGAGAGUUCAUAUUGAUGGGGGAGUUUGCGACCUCGAUGUUGGAUUAAAAUAAGUUAUGGAUGCAGGAGUCUAUUUACUAGGUCUGUUCGACCUUUAAAUUUUU
This 507-nucleotide ribosomal RNA is filed under the name Triatoma platensis. RNAcentral describes it as "partial 16S ribosomal RNA". It matches the Rfam family "Bacterial large subunit ribosomal RNA", at positions 1829 to 2597 of the family's 2925-position model. Lineage: Eukaryota; Metazoa; Arthropoda; Insecta; Hemiptera; Reduviidae. The record is from RNAcentral.